RNAcentral lists this ribosomal RNA (425 nucleotides) under uncultured bacterium. Its description in RNAcentral is "partial 16S ribosomal RNA". It matches the Rfam family "Bacterial small subunit ribosomal RNA", at positions 354 to 796 of the family's 1533-position model. The record is from RNAcentral.
GUGGGGAAUCUUAGACAAUGGGCGCAAGCCUGAUCUAGCCAUGCCGCGUGAGCGAUGAAGGCCUUAGGGUUGUAAAGCUCUUUCGUGGGGGAAGAUAAUGACUGUACCCCAAGAAGAAGCCCCGGCUAACUCCGUGCCAGCAGCCGCGGUAAUACGGAGGGGGCUAGCGUUGUUCGGAAUUACUGGGCGUAAAGCGCACGUAGGCGGACUGGAAAGUCAGGGGUGAAAUCCCGGGGCUCAACCCCGGAACUGCCUUUGAAACUCCCAGUCUUGAGUUCGAGAGAGGGGAGUGGAAUUCCGAGUGUAGAGGUGAAAUUCGUAGAUAUUCGGAGGAACACCAGUGGCGAAGGCGGCUCACUGGCUCGAUACUGACGCUGAGGUGCGAAAGCGUGGGGAGCAAACAGGAUUAGAAACCCGAGUAGUCC